CCGCCCAACUAAUUGUUGGCCUGGAGUUCUGUUGAUCUCACAUAGACUACCAGCCACGCCCCCACUCCCAAAAUGGCUGGAGGAGGUGUAGAGAUAUAUCUGAAGGUUUUCUAGCGCUGCAGGAGUAGAGGAGAUGUGUUUGUUGAGUGGGAGCAUCCUCCGUCACCACCAUUCUCCAGUAUCCAUGGAGAUGACACUAUCUUCUUUGAGCUCCUGAGAACUAAACAACAUUCAACAGUUAACGACAAUCGACGAUGCAAUUACGUUAGAAUCCAGCCAUGCAUGACAUGUGCACAGCGACUGUGGGGGGUCUGGUAUCAAGGUGACCCACCGUCCACUCGGCCCCGGCAUGAUCCAGCAGAUACAGAGCGUGUGCACAGACUGUGGGGGGUCUGGUGAUUACAUAAGAGACAAGGACAAGUGCAAGAAAUGCAAAUGAAAGCGUCUCGUGGAAAUCAACCACAAACAAGAGUGACUUUGUGGCAUCCUGAAAACUUAAAAGAUGCUCUUUCAGUUGGUACGUUCAACCAUUGAUAGUAGAGGGAGAGUGAUUGGAAACUCCUGUGAUUACAGUAAACAACCGCAUUGCUCUUGCUCCGUAAAUUAUCGUACAACACUACACUCACAAUAAAUAACAAGUGGCAGUCAAAGCAGUUAGAGCAGCUAUUAGCAGCUAUUCUGGAGGACAAGGAGUUCCUAUAGUCUUCCUAUUGGACACUCCAAGGUUGAAAGAUGGAAAGAAACUGAGGAGAAGAUGAAGACGAUAUAGAUACUAUAGUUUAGCUGUGUUUAUGUGCAAUGUUCUUAUACAAUGUUUUAAUCAUCAAUAUUCAGUUCAUACUUCACAUACAUGUAAAUCAUCGUCAUAAAUGAUAUGACCAACAGAUAUAUAAACUGAAAAUAAAUCUAUCUAGUGUCUUGGGUGAGAUCAAGAAGGGGUUUUCUGUCUUCGUUCUUACUUAAUCUUCGAGGUCGAAACUUUGCGGCAUCUACACAUGUACAAAAAGGAAGUUGAGAUGGUGGAAAGUAGUUCAAGCCAUGCACAUAUGAACCCUAAGUAAUGAGUACCACUAACAAUUAAAUGCACAUAUUCAUCCAACACCAUGAAAUAAUUACACAAAAUGUGCGCAUAAAUCGUAACAAAAGAUACAUUAGGUAAAUUUCCUCCAUCAAUAACCAAUAACACAACCUAAUACAUUGUUCAAGCCAUUCAGAUGAAUGAGUAGGCCUAGAAUUAGCUUAACUUGGUCUGAGGAAAGAUUCAUGAAAGCCUGGAAAAUUACACUAGUGAUUUUUUUAACAACAGUAGUAAAAACAAUUUUGUCUAUUAAUUUAUUCCUUACUCUUACUGCAUCUUCAUCACCAGUAAGUAUCACCUCCUACUUGCUAUGACUUAGAUAUGGCUACUGUGUCGACUAAGCAGAGUUUCACUAAGAAGUGUACUGUUCACUUUCUUUGUUUAUCAACAAUAUUGGCAGUACACAUGGUUCAACGGAAGUGACGUUUUUACUAGCAAUCAUGUAAGCGUUUCCAAUCCCUCUCCCUCUACUAUCAAUGGUUCAACCAUAGAUUGAACAGUAGGAGGGAUUGGAAACAACCAUGCAGGCCCCUCUGUGUAAACCGGUGAAACACUCCGCGUUAUGAUUUUGCGCUCGCUUAUAGUUUUUACCGCACUCUAGUUGUAUAUUUCAACUGUUUCUAGCUCUCCUAUCCACUAGCGAUCACUCAGAAGCUGGGAGAUACUCUAGAGAAGUAAAUUUACACCACUGACUAAGUAAAUUGUCUUUUACUCCGUUUUUGAGUUUAGCCCAUGUCAACUUUUCUCUUUCCCUGCUGUGAAGAUGAAACAGCAAAGGACAUUGCUUGACUUGGUUAUUAUGUAUCUCAGUGCUAUAUAGAAUGUCUUCAUGCUAUGGAUAAGCUGUACUGUUCAUAAACGUUUGCAGUGUAGUCUUUCAAACUGCUUUAGUAUACUUUUAGACACACCACGGGCCUUGACCUCCCACGACUUCAUAGUAAGGGCUAUUCCUUCUUGUGUAGUAUUUAUUUGUUUAGUGAUAGUGGCUGAGUUGCUUAGUCGACAUUUAGAGCUAGAUUCUCUUUACUUUUUAGAAUAAUCGUGAUUAUUAACAAUUUCACUGUUUCUAGUUCUAUGUACAGCACAUUGUAUGGCAGCAAGACAGGUAAUGAGCAUGCUGACUAUAAAUAUAAUUCUUUGUAGUUUUAGCCACACCCUAUAACGAGGAGUGUUUCACGCAAACAUUUUCGUUUCCAAUCUUUCCUACUGUUCUAUCUAUGGUUCAACCAUUUUCACCUAUUUUCGACAACCAAAGAUGGUACUACUCACGUGAUGUUAGCCUAUAAUUAUGCCUCGAGGCGUAGCCGCACGAGGGAUACAAAGCUGACUGUGUGUGUGUGUGUCUGUGUGUCUGUUCCAGCUGUAACUGCUCAACGGUUGCAAUGCGACGAAAACUAACAGCUUCUAUAGGCUUCUAGCCACGUUCUCUUGGAUUUUGAUUCGUGGAUUAGCAAACUAAAGCUUCUUUCUCGAGUUAUGGCUAGUUUGACUCACAUUGAAGGCUGUUGCAGUCUCUUCAGAAUCUUUCAUAGCAUCAUCUGUCCGCACAAACUUUCUAUUCAACAUAUGAGUUAGCCUUGCACUAAAGCGCUAGCUUUUUGUUAGCUACAAGACUCAGAAAAUACCUGUUAAAACAGCUAGCUAGCUAGCAGUAGCCAUUUGUGAAAUUGAUCUCUUUGGACACACCCUUUAAUUAUUCCUAUGGAUGUAAUGCGCAUGCGCGCUCAUUCCCCAGAUCCAGAUCCUCCUGGCAGAAUCAUAUUUUUCUUGAGGGCCUGGUAAGCCACAAAACACUACUAUAGAUAACAAUAUGCAUGUACACAAGUCUUUUCUUCUUAAAUAUUAUAAUUAUACACUGCAUGAACUACAGAUCCAAUUUUCUUCUUUCUUGAGGUCCUGGUAUUAAAGCCACAUAAUACAACAAUAGAUGCAUGUAAUAAGUCUUUUCUUCUCAGUGACUUUAUAUAGAUAAGCUAACUUUAUGAAAUAAUUAUGCACUUCCGCUUAUAAUUAAUUGAAAACAAAAUCUUCUUCUUUGUUGCUUCCUAGAUCCUUGAGGUCCUGGUAUAAGCAGCCACAAAACACAACAAUGAUACCAUAAUUAUACAAUUGCAAGUCAGUUUUAGACAGAUUAUUUUAUACACUUUUUCCUCUUCUAUACUUUCUCUUCUAUACUUUUGAGCGAAAGCAAAUCAUGGCGAGAGGCAUUAGCACAGCGCCAGCUUGAACACUAGUUAUAAUAUGUUUCCUACGUGUUACAUUAUUAUUUAACCUCUGAACUCGUGUGAACUAAACACUUUAUGUCUUGUCUCUUCAGAACACUGCUGGUGACGACCAUAGUGACAAGCAGCUGGAUCACACCGACUACAGGAGAGUCGACUGUGACCUGUUUGUGGAGAAGAGCAUCAGUUUAGGGAGGCCUUGUGUGGCUUCACCUGCACUCUGUACCCCCUGGACGGGAGGAAUGUGGGUGUGUCCAGGUCACCAGGAGCAGUGUUGUCACCAGGUGAGUAUGUGGCUGGUAGGAGGAGGAUUGUAUAGGGCUGCCUUUGAGAGGAGUGUACAUACAAGCUAUUAUAGUGUGUCCCAGCCUUACAAGCUGAGGGGACAUGUGUUAGGGUUAGGUACCUUAGGACUUUUGAUCUGGCAGCUUUAACAAGACUUAGGCUAUUUAUUAUCAAGGGCGUAUACACCCUUGUUAUUAUCCAUGAGAACCAAAGCAGCUGAAUAGAAAGUGGUAGCUAAGAGUACCAGUGUGAAGGAGGGAGGUUCAUUGAGGUGUACUGGCAUGGCUAUCUUAUAUAUAGUGACAUCCUUCUUGUUCUUCAAUAGACUGUAGAGGUGGUGUGGCCAAAUUGGCAAAUACCGUGUAGCGGAUAUUUCGAGGGUAUAAAUGUUCAUGGUUUUCGCUGAUCAAGCAUCUAUCGCGAACAUUUAUUCCCACGAAUUUAAUAUCACACGCAUACACGCUGCAGAAAGACUGCUAUUCUGAAUUCCUGAAAACCUUUCUAACGGUCAAUCCGCGAAAGUGUAUACCCUCGAAAUAUACCCGCUAUACGAUAGUUUUAUCACUCAAAUAUGAACUUUGAUGAUAUCAUUUUAGAGAUCGAAGAAGCUCUUUCAUAUGCUUAAUUCCCGAAUUUUGAACGGGUCAUAAUUAGGGUUAGGUAUAGGACUUUUGAUCUUGUUAUUUCUAUUUUCACUUCAUGUGUAUGUAUUUAUAGUCUUGUGGUCAUGUGCAAUACUAACAGUGGUUGUGUUGUGUGGGCAGUAUUGUACGUAGGUACAUGUACAGUUGCUAAAAAGCUACGAAAACUCUGCCAAUCUAAUUACAACAUACUGAAAGUAGUAUCAAUUGAGUUUACAAUGUGUGUGUACAUGUACAGUACUGUGUGUGUGUGUGUGUGUGUGUGUGUGUGUGUGUGUGUGUGUGUGUGUGUGUGUGUGUGUGUGUGUGUGUGUGUGUGUGUGUGUGUGUGUGUGUGUGUGUGUGUGUGUGUGUGUGUGUGUGUGUGUGUGUGUGUGUGUGUGUGUGUGUGUGUGUGUGUGUGUGUGUGUGUGUGUGUGUGUGUGUGUGUGUGUGUCCAGGGUCUGGAGAUGCCAGUGUUCAGGAGGCCUCAUGUCAAGGGCAACCUCUAUGUUCAAUUCACCAUCCAAUUCCCUGACACUGGUUUCCUGGAGGAGAGUCAACUAAAGGUAUGCAGUGGCUAUAAUCAUGUGAUAUGUGUGUGCAGUGUAGGCAGCCUCUCAAUACACAGGCCUCCACUGUAUACAUGCAAUAUCUUUAUGCUGUACCACCUUGUCUUCUAUAAUUAAGGUGUCUUUGUGAAGUAGUUGGUAUACUGAUCCAAUACACAGGCCCCCACUGUAUAGCAAUGUACUCUACCCCCCCACACACACACACACACACACACACACCCACACACACACACACACACACACACCACACACCCCACACACACCCACACGUACACCCACACCCACACACACCCACACACACACACCCACACACACACACACACCCCACACACACACACACACACACACACACACACACACACACACCUCCACCCACACACAAGUGUUGAAGUGUUUCCUGCCCACAGGACCUGACCCACCAGCACUGGACCCAGAGGCAGAGGAAGUGGAUAUGAUAGAGAGUGAGGGGACGAGGGGAGUGGGCGGGGCACAAGGGGGUGGAGUCAUAUACGAUGAAGAUGAGGAGGAUAAAGGAGUGGGCGGGGCAUAGAGGGUGGGCUGCUCUCAACAGUGACUCUCUUAGGAACUCUAUAUUCACCGCUUUGAUUGUAUUUAUAGACUGGUUUUGUGGUUACUGCUAUUGUUCUAAUUAUGUGAAUAACGUU
This is a long non-coding RNA of Halichondria panicea, 5442 nucleotides long. RefSeq lists it as uncharacterized. Lineage: Eukaryota; Metazoa; Porifera; Demospongiae; Suberitida; Halichondriidae. The record is from RefSeq and is a predicted model, not a curated record. The transcript has 4 exons.